UAGCUUUGCCUAAGUCGAACUCUUACAAGUUUGAUAAAGUUCAUAGAAAAAAAUAUUAAUGUCUACAACAUCAAAUAUGUAUAGUAUGAAAAUAUAUUUGAUGAAUCUAAUGAAGCUAAUUUGGUGUUGUAGAUGUUGGUUCAUUUUUCUGUAGACUUGAUCAAGCUUAACAAGGUUUUAACUUGGAACAAACCUAG
RNAcentral lists this microRNA precursor (197 nucleotides) under Triticum aestivum (bread wheat). Its description in RNAcentral is "MIR1435 microRNA precursor family". It matches the Rfam family "MIR1435 microRNA precursor family". The record is from Rfam by way of RNAcentral. RNAcentral also lists the same sequence under 1 other name. Lineage: Eukaryota; Viridiplantae; Streptophyta; Magnoliopsida; Poales; Poaceae.